This 490-nucleotide ribosomal RNA is filed under the name uncultured bacterium. Its description in RNAcentral is "partial 16S ribosomal RNA". It matches the Rfam family "Bacterial small subunit ribosomal RNA", at positions 30 to 507 of the family's 1533-position model. The record is from RNAcentral.
AUUGAACGCUGGCGGCAGGCCUAACACAUGCAAGUCGAACGGUAACAGGAAGCAGCUUGCUGCUUCGCUGACGAGUGGCGGACGGGUGAGUAAUGUCUGGGAAACUGCCUGAUGGAGGGGGAUAACUACUGGAAACGGUAGCUAAUACCGCAUAACGUCGCAAGACCAAAGAGGGGGACCUUAGGGCCUCUUGCCAUCGGAUGUGCCCAGAUGGGAUUAGCUAGUAGGUGGGGUAACGGCUCACCUAGGCGACGAUCCCUAGCUGGUCUGAGAGGAUGACCAGCCACACUGGAACUGAGACACGGUCCAGACUCCUACGGGAGGCAGCAGUGGGGAAUAUUGCACAAUGGGCGCAAGCCUGAUGCAGCCAUGCCGCGUGUAUGAAGAAGGCCUUCGGGUUGUAAAGUACUUUCAGCGGGGAGGAAGGGAGUAAAGUUAAUACCUUUGCUCAUUAACGUUACCCGCAGAAGAAGCACCGGCUAACUCCGUG